UUGAUCCAACUCCUCCCUCUCCCUCGGUCUCGCCUCUCCUAUCGCUCGGUCCUCUGACCUCUCUAGGGUUCGCCGCCCGCCGCCGUCCCCAGCCGCCCUGCUCCGCUGUUGCCCCUCCCUCCGCCUGCCUCGCCCCUGAUCCCCCAAGCGAGCCACCGUCCUCCUCUCCAACCCCGGCCUCCACUCCACCGCGCACCGCCGGCGACGACUCCUCUCCCAGGCCACGGAUCCACCCGAGCAGCCGAGGCAGCGGUCAGAUCCGCCCGCCCUCCUUCACUCCAUAUUCACGCUGGAAACCCUAGCCACCCGACCAUGCCGAACGACCGCAGGCACGAGGAAUCUGCUGCUCCCCUCCUCCUCCAACGGUGGUAGUCAGGAAGGAGGUACAGUACAGCCAAGGGAGGGUUCUCCUCUUGGAUGUCCAAUUUAGGCACAAUAGAGAAAAGGUUGUUCUGACGAUUGAUAUCAACACUGCUUUCAAGAGGAUACACUGAUAAGCGAUGAAACCGAAUUAUUCAUAUUUCUGGAGCAUUUUUAGCUGGAGCUGCAGUGCAACCAUGUUUGUCCGCGUCGUGGUGAGGUGGAGAGCCAAAAUGCAUGAAGCUUAUGACAUGGGUGAAGGAGAUGAAAGCUCUAGGCAAGUAGGGAGUACCACAAGAUCUGACUCACCACCAUCUGAUCUAGGCACUGUCCGGCCGAGGUAAUGAAGGGUGACAUAGGGAGGGCUGAGAGACACUGCUGACGUUCUCUUUUUAUUUUGCAUUUACUUAUUUAUUUCUCAUUUACUUAGUCAGGUUAUUUUACAGUACCUAAGGUAAUUCACCGGCAUUGUUUCUAAAAUAGAUUGUGUUUUGUUUUGUUCUGGAGUGUUUAUACUGUUGCUGCAUCUGAAAUGGCAUGGUAUUAGUUUUUUCAUUUUUAAAAGAAUGCCACUAGACUUUCAACAAUCAAAACUAUGUCCUGAAGUUAUCGACACUUGAAUAUACAUUAUGAUUUAGUGCACUUUCAAUCAAUGGUCAAUGCAAAUCAAUGGUCAAUGCAUCACUAUUUUCUGGAAGCAUUCCAUUCCAUAUGAAGUUUUCUUUUCAGCUUGAUAUGUUAAUAAUAUUAUUACCAUGUUUCACGGAAAUGUCUAUUUGAGAACUUUUCAGCUAAAGUGGUGCCUGUAUAUUGGACAAGUAAGACAAUCGAAAAUAGAUUCAGCAUGGUUCCUGUACUCCCAACUUUUCAUGGUUCACUUCACAUAAAAAAAACUUCUUCGCCAUAGCGCAGUUGUGGUGCUUCACGACGCUGUGAGAAGAUGAUCGAGGGUCAGCGGCACGGGUGCUUCGUCGUCAUCUUCAAUGAGUCCAAGUGAUUUAUAUCUGAUGCAACUCAAAAGAGAAUUCUGAAGCUGAUGAACUUGGAUGGCCUGACAGUCUACCAUACCAACCGACAUCUCCAUGUAAAUGGUGGCGGCUAGGGUGAUCAGGGAGGAUGACGCGCUAUGGCAGCAAUAAAAGCACAGUGCUGCUAUCUUUCUCGUGAUUGAAUCAUCCCAGUCUGAAAUCUGGGUGGAGUUCCCCAUGGCAACUGAAUACCUUUCAACUGGAUGCUCGAGGGAGCAGGGUACCCUAUGGUGCAAGUGGAUGGUUGUAUAUCUGUUGUAAAUCAAACCAACUGUUCCCUUUUUCUGUACUACAAUUGUGGUUAUAUUACUGGUUUAUAAAUUUGCAGAGAAAAUGCAUUUGUUAUACCCUAUAUCUGAGCUAACAUCGUUUGCUUUCCAAUUGCAGCUUUAGAUUAGGCGUUUAUGCCAAGUUUAAUUUUUUCUUAAUCCCAGUUUUGUGCUAAUUAUAUCUUUUCUCUUUGAUGGGCAGUUGUAUUGCCGACUGAUGCAACCAUGUGCUGAUCUGCCGGCAGUGAGCGGGCAGAGUUGAGGGAGGGCGGCCAGCUGCCUGGCGGGUGCGCCGGCGAGCACAACGUGAAAGAGCCUGACAGCCUGUCCACUACCAGCUUAGUUGCUGACUCUUUGAUUGUCGUGCUGCCCCGUGCAAUGGCCAGCUGGUGAAGGGGAAGCCAUUGGAUUUGUAGGACUUUGUUGGCAUCACCACUAUGCUUGUUAUCACAAUCAGUUUCACUGAGGAAAAAACUGCCAGCGAUGUCUGCCCCUGUGCUCAUCAAUGAUUCCACUCUCCCUCUCUCUGUUGGCUGGUCCUGCCCAUGAAUAGGAUAAAUCACAGCCGUGGGGGUGCGCGGGUCCCAGCCAUGCGAUGUCCGGUUGUCGGAGCUUGACGCCGCCAUGGGCGACGGUGCUGACCCACCACCCUGGUGCCAACCCCUUGUCGAGCCAGCAGCCCCGGGCAGAGGAAGGCCACCCAGUCAUUGUUUUCUCCAUGAACAGACCAUCACUUGAUCCACGUCUUCAGAGUGUUGGUGCUCUGCCUUUCACCAGCAGCAACACUUCAGCGAAGUGGGCGGUUUUGUUGGGACAACGGAAUCUGCUCAUCUAAAGUGAAACUGGGAAUUGGACGAACGCUCUUCUACUCAGCUACUUGGACGUGCUCUCAAGGUCUCAGCUCAUGAGCCUCCCACUCUUCCUUGUGAAGCAGCAAAUGCAACAUACCUAAAGGUGCAUAAACUAAGGUGUACAUAAUUUAUUUUGUGGAGGAAGAAUAUGGUAACUUAAACAGUAUUACAUGUGAUGCCAUGUCGCUGCGGGGAAGCAUUCACACACUCACGUUUGGCAUGUUCCAUGCAGCAGACCUGUCGUCAUUGGUUGAGAUUUUGUUCAUUAGCAUAGGUUCAUGAAUGCCGAGCGCAUCCAAUCGACAUCGUCAAACUUUGGGCUCUAGCACUUUGCUCUGUUUGUGAGGAUGGAUCAAUAGUGCGCUCACCAAGUGGCAGCAGUAGAAGCAACACUCAAAAGGAGCGACACAACAAAGACGGAGGACGACAUCGAGCGGAGGCUAUAUAGAAUGAUUGCAGGUUUUAAUCAAGAAGUCCUCAAUAGGUGGACUGGCUCAAAAUGGAGAAGCAUGCUGGUAGCUUUUGUGUUGAUUGUAUUAAGCAUUUAAGUUUGUAGCAAUUCAUAACGUCAAAUCAUUGGGAUGCUUUGUAAUAUUUUAGAAGACUGUGUUUCUUUGCUGGAUCUAGCGUGCUGUCUAUAGAUGUCCUUACCUACUUCCUUCUCACAUAUGGAAUGGGUUUUCGGAUAGCCUAGACAUACGGAGACAAUUUGGGGGUGUCGAUUCUCUCUCUCUCUC
Molecule: long non-coding RNA, 3245 nt
Organism: Triticum aestivum (bread wheat)
Lineage: Eukaryota; Viridiplantae; Streptophyta; Magnoliopsida; Poales; Poaceae
Exons: 11
Source: RefSeq, a predicted model, not a curated record